UAUUUCUUUUAAUUUUAGUCCGGCAAGGUUCAGGCUUUAGCUAGCUUUUUACCAUUUCCUUUAAAAAUUAGGGUAAACAUGCUGCAGUGGUUUUGUUAAUUUCGUUUAGGUUUUGGUGAGAAAAGCUUCCAUCCUUUUCUCUUUCUCCCUAUCUUCCUCUUUCUUUAGUACAUUAUUGGGUUUUUACUCUUUUAGGCUCUCUUUUUAGGAUGUGGUUAGAAUUCCGAAUAGAAUUGCCGCUGCAAAAAGAAGAUUUUCUAAUAAGCAGCAGUUGGAUCAACUGAUAGGGCCGAAACGAAGGAGCCUAAAAGAACUUAAAAACCCUUCUUCUCUCCCAUCCCUUCAUUCCACCUCGAGAAUCUGAGGGAACUCGACCCUUCUCUCUUGUUACAUUAUCUCUGGAACCCUAGCUCUUGCCAUCUCCAUCGAAACCGGAGCGGCCUUAAGGCCCGACCCCAACCGGAGGUUCCCUGGAUUCUGGUAAGAUUUUCUUGUGUUUAAUGUUUAAUCUGUGUUUUUGUUCCUCUGCGGGUGAGAUUUUCUUGGUAAUUCUGUUUCCAAGAUUUAAUUUGUUAAACUAAGGGACAAAUUAUUUCAUCAAUUCCAAUGUUCCGCUUUAAAUUUUGUUUUUGAUGUUUCUGGUCCAAGGGUUUCUGUUAAUUUCUGGAAAGAAUUUAUAGCAAUCUGUUGUUAUUUCUUUUAAUUUUAGCCCGGCAAGGUUCAAGCUUUAGCUAGCUUUUUAUCAAUUCCUUUAAAAAUUAGGGUAAACAUGCUGAAGUGGUUUUGUUAAUUUCGUUUAGUUUUUGGUGAGGAAAGCUUCCAUCCUUUUCUCUUUCUCCCUAUCUUCCUCUUUCUUUAGUACAUUAUUGGGUUUUGACUCUUUUAGGCUCUGUUUUUAGGAUGUGGUUAGAAUUCCGAAUGGAAUUGCCGCUGCAAAAAGAAGAUUGUCUAAUAAGCAGUAGUUGGAUCAACUGAUAGGGCUGAAACAAAGGGUUAUUAUCAGAAAUACUAGAUCAAACUGCACUUAGAGUUAAGCUAUAUUUUUGCCUUCUUCUGUAACUCUUCUGUGAAACCCAUAUUUGCUACUGUGCAAAUUAGUACUGUCUGGUCUGUGUGGGAUUGAAUAGUGAAUCCCAUAGUGACUUAGAAUCCUAUUCAGGCUUCUUCUCGUCUGCUAAAGGGAGCUGUUUCCUCUUUUUCAUUCAGACCUUUUCACCAAGAACAAAUUCCUUUCCAAAGACAUCUAUUGUUAGCUGAAGAAAUUUUAAAGAAAUUUCAAAUUUAAUACAUUAACUCAUAACACAGUCGACCAUAAUUUUAGGACAAUCUGUCCUUUUUUUCCGAUUUUUUUUUGCUUAUGUAUGAGAAUGUACACCUGUACAUUUGGAAUAUAUACUAUUUGGGGUACAAAUGGUAAUUCCUGUACUCUGCAAACUUGAUUUUUUUUUCCUAAUUUUAAGCAUAAUCAAGAAAUGAACAUUGAAGAAACUAACUACAGACACCCAAACUGAACUGUCGAAAUGAGGCAUUUUUAAGUGCUAAAUGUUCCUGUGGAAAAG
This 1559-nucleotide long non-coding RNA is filed under the name Phoenix dactylifera (date palm). RNAcentral's name for it is "long non-coding RNA (PDAC_LNC006427)". Lineage: Eukaryota; Viridiplantae; Streptophyta; Magnoliopsida; Arecales; Arecaceae. The record is from RNAcentral.